AUUGAACGCUGGCGGCAGGCCUAACACAUGCAAGUCGAACGGUAGCACAGAGAGCUUGCUCUCGGGUGACGAGUGGCGGACGGGUGAGUAACGUCUGGGAAACUGCCCGAUGGAGGGGGAUAACUACUGGAAACGGUAGCUAAUACCGCAUAACGUCGCAAGACCAAAGUGGGGGACCUUCGGGCCUCACACCAUCGGAUGUGCCCAGAUGGGAUUAGCUAGUAGGUGGGGUAAUGGCUCACCUAGGCGACGAUCCCUAGCUGGUCUGAGAGGAUGCGCAGACACACUGGAACUGAGACACGGUCAAGACUCCGACGGGAGGCAGCAGUGGGGAAUAUUGCACAAUGGGCGCAAGCCUGAUGCAGCCAUGCCGCGUGUAUGAAGAAGGCCUUCGGGUUGUAAAGUACUUUCAGCGGGGAGGAAGGCGGUGAAGUUAAUAACUUCACCGAUUGACGUUACCCGCAGAAGAAGCACCGGCUAACUCCGUGCCAGCAGCCGCAGUAA
This 504-nucleotide ribosomal RNA is filed under the name uncultured bacterium. Its description in RNAcentral is "partial 16S ribosomal RNA". It matches the Rfam family "Bacterial small subunit ribosomal RNA", at positions 29 to 523 of the family's 1533-position model. The record is from RNAcentral.